ACGGGAGGCAGCAGUGGGGAAUAUUGCACAAUGGGGGAAACCCUGAUGCAGCGAUGCCGCGUGGAGGAAGAAGGUUUUCGGAUUGUAAACUCCUGUCUUAAAGGACGAUAAUGACGGUACUUUAGGAGGAAGCUCCGGCUAACUACGUGCCAGCAGCCGCGGUAAUACGUAGGGAGCGAGCGUUGUCCGGAAUUACUGGGUGUAAAGGGAGCGUAGGCGGGAUUGCAAGUCAGAUGUGAAAACUAUGGGCUUAACCCAUAGACUGCAUUUGAAACUGUAGUUCUUGAGUGAAGUAGAGGUAAGCGGAAUUCCUGGUGUAGCGGUGAAAUGCGUAGAUAUUAGGAGGAACACCGGUGGCGAAGGUGGCUAACUGGACGAUAACUGACGCUGAGGCUCGAAAGCGUGGGGAGCAAACAGGAUUAGAUACCCUGGUA
Molecule: ribosomal RNA, 434 nt
Filed under: uncultured Ruminococcus sp.
Lineage: Bacteria; Bacillati; Bacillota; Clostridia; Eubacteriales; Oscillospiraceae
Description: partial 16S ribosomal RNA
Rfam family: Bacterial small subunit ribosomal RNA
Source: RNAcentral